Molecule: transfer RNA, 63 nt
Filed under: Trichonephila inaurata madagascariensis
Lineage: Eukaryota; Metazoa; Arthropoda; Arachnida; Araneae; Nephilidae
Description: tRNA-Ser
Source: RNAcentral
GUAGCCUAAUGGUUAUAGUAGUUGACUUGAAAUGAAUAGCCCUAGGUUCGAUUCCCAGGAACU